CACUGAAACAGUCCCAAGGGAACGUGCAAAUUUCCGCGUAUCUGAUAUAAAAAAGUCCCUUGCGACUUCCGCUUUGACUGUCUCUUUUCUAGUUCUAGCGUUCCGUUGUAGUAACAGGAUACCUUGACAGUAUGCUGGGAUAUUACCCGUUUCCCUUUGUUAUCCAGGUUCUAGCCGAGAGAAUGCGUCAAGUGACGUGCACUCCUAACCUCCCAGUAUCAACAAAGCCUUAUUUGUUACCAAGAAAGAGAGGAAGUGAUCACACAUCUAGUCUUUUGUCGUUGUCAUGGACGGUGACAAGGUCAAGUCUCUCUAGAUGUAAAUCAAUAUGCAGAUUUCUGGGGACUUAACGCAGUGCUAACAAUUCGCAUUUAAGAUUUAAUUUCUUAUACCGGGAAGAGGUAUUCGGAUUCCUUACUGGAUGGAUAAUCAAAAGAAUGCAACAGGUAUCCGAGGGAAAAAUGGUUAGAUGUAACCUUGGUCCUAGAGACACUCCCACCAUCGAAAACCCGAAAGUGCGACGGACGAAUGCCGACGGGAGGGCGACAUAUGCGGCUUGCCUCGACUUCAGUAAAAACCCGCGGGUAAGAACCUAGAUUUUUUCAAGUCUGGCAAAACGGGUUCUUUUAUUUUUGGGUACUUACUAACAAUUAAGGCAAAAUAAGUUCCAAGUUGCUUAAUUAACACUAGGAUUUAUAAUCACAGAAGUGUGACUGAAUACAAAGCCACUUUGCUGCUCACUCGUAAAAUAUUGUUUCCACCACUCGAAAAUAAACUUCAUAUCUUC
This is a long non-coding RNA of Nematostella vectensis (starlet sea anemone), 787 nucleotides long. RefSeq lists it as uncharacterized. The record is from RefSeq and is a predicted model, not a curated record. The transcript is spliced from 2 exons. Lineage: Eukaryota; Metazoa; Cnidaria; Anthozoa; Actiniaria; Edwardsiidae.